UGGGGAAUAUUGGACAAUGGGGGAAACCCUGAUCCAGCCAUGCCGCGUGAAUGAUGAAGGCCUUCGGGUUGUAAAGUUCUUUUGGUAGGGACGAUGAUGACGGUACCUACAGAAUAAGCUCCGGCUAACUUCGUGCCAGCAGCCGCGGUAAUACGAAGGGAGCUAGCGUUGUUCGGAAUUACUGGGCGUAAAGGGUGCGUAGGCGGUCUAAUCAGUCAGAUGUGAAAGCCCUGGGCUCAACCUAGGAACUGCGUUUGAUACUGUUAGGCUAGAAUUCGGAAGAGGUGAGUGGAAUUCCCAGUGUAGAGGUGAAAUUCGUAGAUAUUGGGAAGAACACCGGUGGCGAAGGCGGCUCACUGGUCCGACAUUGACGCUGAGGCACGAAAGCGUGGGGAGCAAACAGG
Molecule: ribosomal RNA, 404 nt
Filed under: uncultured bacterium
Lineage: Bacteria
Description: bacterial SSU rRNA
Rfam family: Bacterial small subunit ribosomal RNA
Source: RNAcentral